UAGGGAAUCUUCCGCAAUGGGCGAAAGCCUGACGGAGCAACGCCGCGUGAGUGAUGAAGGUCUUCGGAUCGUAAAACUCUGUUAUCAGGGAAGAACAAAUGUGUAAGUAACUGUGCACAUCUUGACGGUACCUGAUCAGAAAGCCACGGCUAACUACGUGCCAGCAGCCGCGGUAAUACGUAGGUGGCAAGCGUUAUCCGGAAUUAUUGGGCGUAAAGCGCGCGUAGGCGGUUUUUUAAGUCUGAUGUGAAAGCCCACGGCUCAACCGUGGAGGGUCAUUGGAAACUGGAAAACUUGAGUGCAGAAGAGGAAAGUGGAAUUCCAUGUGUAGCGGUGAAAUGCGCAGAGAUAUGGAGGAACACCAGUGGCGAAGGCGACUUUCUGGUCUGUAACUGACGCUGAUGUGCGAAAGCGUGGGGAUCAAACAGG
This 429-nucleotide ribosomal RNA is filed under the name Pseudomonas sp. RNAcentral describes it as "partial 16S ribosomal RNA". It matches the Rfam family "Bacterial small subunit ribosomal RNA", at positions 355 to 776 of the family's 1533-position model. The record is from RNAcentral. Lineage: Bacteria; Pseudomonadati; Pseudomonadota; Gammaproteobacteria; Pseudomonadales; Pseudomonadaceae. RNAcentral also lists the same sequence under 2 other names.